Molecule: ribosomal RNA, 398 nt
Filed under: uncultured bacterium
Lineage: Bacteria
Description: partial 16S ribosomal RNA
Rfam family: Bacterial small subunit ribosomal RNA
Source: RNAcentral
AUACGUAGGGUGCGAGCGUUGUCCGGAAUUACUGGGCGUAAAGAGCUCGUAGGUGGUUUGUCGCGUCGUCUGUGAAAUUCCGGGGCUUAACUCCGGGCGUGCAGGCGAUACGGGCAUAACUUGAGUACUGUAGGGGAGACUGGAAUUCCUGGUGUAGCGGUGAAAUGCGCAGAUAUCAGGAGGAACACCGGUGGCGAAGGCGGGCCUCUGGGCAGUAACGGACGCUGAGGAGCGAAAGCAUGGGUUGCGAACAGGAUUAGAUUCCCUGGUAGUCCAGGCCGUAAACGGGGGGCGCUAGGUGUAGGGGUCUUCCACGACUUCUGUGCCGUAGCUAACGCAUUAAGCGCCCCGCCUGGGGAGUACGGCCGCAAGGCUAAAGCUCAAAGGAAUUGACGGGG